UCACUCCCAGAUGUUCCACCGUACGUGUCCGUGAAAGCGGAGGCAGGCGGAGACGACUCGAAACCGAACGCGGCAAAGCACGACCUGGGCGCGUCAGAGUCUCCGA
This 106-nucleotide non-coding RNA is filed under the name unclassified sequences. Its description in RNAcentral is "EGFOA RNA". It matches the Rfam family "EGFOA RNA". The record is from Rfam by way of RNAcentral.